CCUACGGGUGGCAGCAGUAGGGAAUAUUGCUCAAUGGGGGAAACCCUGAAGCAGCAACGCCGCGUGGAGGAUGAAGGUUUUCGGAUUGUAAACUCCUUUUGUUAGAGAAGAUAAUGACGGUAUCUAACGAAUAAGCACCGGCUAACUCCGUGCCAGCAGCCGCGGUAAUACGGAGGGUGCAAGAGUUCCUCGGAAUAACUGGGCGUAAAGAGCGCGUAGGCGGGAUAGCAAGUCAGAUGUGAAAUCCUAGGGCUUAACCAUAAAACUGCAUUUGAAACUGGUAUUCUAGAGUAUGGGAGAGGUAGGUGGAAUUCUUGGUGUAGGGGUAAAAUCCGUAGAGAUCAAGAGGAAUACUCAGUGCGAAGGCGACCUGCUAGAACAUAACUGACGCUGAUGCGCGAAAGCGUGGGGAGCAAACAGGAUUAGAUACCCCGGUAGUC
This 440-nucleotide ribosomal RNA is filed under the name uncultured bacterium. Its description in RNAcentral is "partial 16S ribosomal RNA". It matches the Rfam family "Bacterial small subunit ribosomal RNA", at positions 338 to 795 of the family's 1533-position model. The record is from RNAcentral.